This is a long non-coding RNA of Arachis stenosperma, 1886 nucleotides long. RefSeq lists it as uncharacterized. The transcript has 4 exons. The record is from RefSeq and is a predicted model, not a curated record. Lineage: Eukaryota; Viridiplantae; Streptophyta; Magnoliopsida; Fabales; Fabaceae.
AUCUAUAUCUGUAUCUAUAUCUAUAGGAUCUUAAAACCCAGCAUUUGAAUGCUGAUGUGGCGUUCUAUCCUUUAUUUCUGUAUUUUUUAUUCAUUGCUUCUCAACACUUUUCUUCUGAUAUUUUCAAUUUCUUCAUAUGCGUUCUGCCCCUCUUUUCAAAUCAGUUGUUGUUGAAAAAAGGAAGGUUGGGGUGUUGUCCCAAAGGUUGCACCAUAAGGUUGCUGUUUGAAAUUGAAAAAAAGGGGUAUUAACUGGCUUAGUUAAAUUGUAAUCUGUGUUGCUGUUGGGUUUGGUGAUUGAUGGAGCUUGGUAUGAAGAAGUUUCUUCAUUCUCUCUCUCUCUCUCUCUCUCUGGGUUAAUUGUUUAUUAUUCACAAUUGUUUAUUGUUCUGAGUUUCAUGGUUGCAAUUGCAAGAAAUAGCCAUUUUAUUGAGAUCUUACAAGGCACUAGAUUUAUCUUAAUUGUGUCAUGCAUUAUAUUCAAUAAUUGUUUGCUUGCAAUAUAUUUCCUAAGUCGACUCACGAAAUAUUUGCAUAAAAGCUUUAUCAGGAAAAGGGUAGUCUUCAACUAUCUUUUUAACAAAUAAUUAUAACUUCUUGAUUUACUUUGUAGUAUUCUUCAAUUUCGUCUCAAAAUUUAAUUCACCAACCAGUUUUGCUUCUCUAUUGGAUAAGUAUUGUUAAGUAGCAAGUCUGAGGGAUACUUAGUCUUACAUCGGAUGAAAUAAGGUAUAAGAGUUUAUGGGAUGAGAUAUUCAUGUAUUUAGUGCCUUAAGAUUUUUAAGUUGGUGUGGUACAUUAUCUCACUUGGUUCCUAUACAACUAUACAAGUGACUAACUAUUUCUUUUUAUUGUAAUAUGAGUGCUAAAAUAUCACUCUUUUAUGUAUUUUUAUUUUUUUAUACAAAUAAUAAAUGUACUGUUUUGUUUCUCUCAUAUAAUCUCUGUCAUGAGAUGGAUAUAUUUUUUUAAUUUGCUUUAAUUUAAACCUUUCCCUGUGGACAUAGGAAAACAACUUGGGGACAUUGAUUAUUGGAGUAAACUCUGUUCUUCUUGCUUUUGAUCUAUACUUAUUUAGAUACGGAACAAGUAUCAUUGCACCAAAACAAGUUUCAAUACUUUUAAAUUAAACUCCAAGAAGAUUGUGCAAUUUAAUGAUUUGAGAAUGAACUGAAAAAUGAAGUUGCAAGUUUGAUCAGCAAAGGGCAUUGGAAGAGGCUCAUGGCCAAUUACUUGAAGUUGCUCACAGAUUCAAUUACUAGGUCCAGAACUCCAACGUUUCAAAUUACUGGUGAAGGUUCAUUUUGAGCUGUGGAAUUUAAGCGAAAUCCUUGCUGGCUGUCUCAAUCGCGUUCCUUAUCGCCUUCGGAGCUCACAGGAAGAAAUCCCUCAGCACUUCUGGAGCCUUCGUUGGCUUCUUCGUUAUGGCGCUUCACAUUUUUGUAGGAAGCAGGUUACAAGUUCUAGCCAAUAGUGCCAUUGCCUCAGUUUUGAUUGUAGCUAUACGGGCAUUAGCAGAAGGGCAGGAUAAGUGUUUGGACUCGAAAGACUCAACUCUGAUUACUUCUCUCAUUGGUGGUGUUAUUGGCCACUACUUUUGCUGUAACGGAGAUAUUUGGUCCUUAGAGCUUGGAAUUCUUAGUGAUGGGCAAUCUCUCCUUUAUACCUUGAAUUUUUUAUUCAACCCUUUAUUUCAAUGUUCAAUUUUCCUUCGUAAGCAUUUUGUCUUUAUUUUCAAAUUUUCAAAUCAUGGGUUAUUGAAAAAUUAUACAUUGACAUCAAUUUUUUUUUGGUGACUAUACAUUGACUUCAAUUACUAAUAAUUGUUAAAUUUUAUUUUAUUAUUAUAUCAGUGCAAAUGUUGUUGCUAACAAAAUGGCAAAUGUA